UAAAAGGGGUAGGCAGUUCAUUUUGUUAAUUAGUCAGAUCCGAAAGGGAGCAGCUAGCACAAUUAUGAACUGGGUUACCCCUUUAAUCU
RNAcentral lists this signal recognition particle RNA (89 nucleotides) under Rickettsiales bacterium. RNAcentral's name for it is "signal recognition particle sRNA small type". It matches the Rfam family "Bacterial small signal recognition particle RNA". Rfam says of the family: The signal recognition particle (SRP) is a universally conserved ribonucleoprotein involved in the co-translational targeting of proteins to membranes. Lineage: Bacteria; Pseudomonadati; Pseudomonadota; Alphaproteobacteria; Rickettsiales. The record is from RNAcentral.